GAAACUUAAAGGAAUUGGCGGGGGAGUACUACAAGGGGUGGAGGCUGCGGUUUAAUUGGAUACAACGCCGGACAACUCACCAGGAUUGACAGCAAUAUGAUGGACAGUCUGAAGGGCUUUCCUGAUGCGCUGAGAGGUGGUGCAUGGCCACCGCCAGCUCGUGCUGUGAAGUGUCCUGUUAAGUCAGGCAACGAGCGAGACCCACGCCUCCAGUUGCAAACCCGCUUCUCCGGAAGCGGGUGCACUCUGGAGGGACUGCCGGUGCUAAAUCGGAGGAAGGAGUGGGCGACGGUAGGUCUGUAUGCCCCGAAUUUCCUGGGCUACACGCGGCCUACAAAGCGACGGACAAUAGGAUGCAACCCCGAAAGGGGAAGCUAAACCCUUAAACCUUCGCGUAGUUUGGAUCGAGGACUGGGACUCGUCCUCGUGAAACUGGAAUCCCUAGUAAUCGCGUGUCAUUAUCGCGCGGUGAAUAUGUCCCUUCUCCUUGCACACACCGCCCGUCAAACCACCCGAGUGGGGUUCAGACGAGGUGUCAUCCAUAGCGGGUGACUUCAAAUCUGGGCUCUGUGAGGAGGGUUAAGUCGUAACAA
Molecule: ribosomal RNA, 593 nt
Filed under: uncultured crenarchaeote
Lineage: Archaea; Thermoproteati; Thermoproteota
Description: bacterial SSU rRNA
Rfam family: Archaeal small subunit ribosomal RNA
Source: RNAcentral